RNAcentral lists this ribosomal RNA (433 nucleotides) under uncultured bacterium. RNAcentral's name for it is "partial 16S ribosomal RNA". It matches the Rfam family "Bacterial small subunit ribosomal RNA", at positions 29 to 507 of the family's 1533-position model. The record is from RNAcentral.
AACGAACGCUGGCGGCAUGCCUAACACAUGCAAGUCGAACGAGACCUUCGGGUCUAGUGGCGCACGGGUGCGUAACGCGUGGGAACCUGCCCUUAGGUUCGGAAUAACUCAGAGAAAUUUGAGCUAAUACCGGAUAAUGUCUUCGGACCAAAGAUUUAUCGCCUUUGGAUGGGCCCGCGUAGGAUUAGCUUGUUGGUGGGGUAAUGGCCUACCAAGGCGACGAUCCUUAGCUGGUCUGAGAGGAUGAUCAGCCACACUGGGACUGAGACACGGCCCAGAGUCCUACGGGAGGCAGCAGUGGGGAAUAUUGGACAAUGGGCGAAAGCCUGAUCCAGCAAUGCCGCGUGAGUGAUGAAGGCCUUAGGGUUGUAAAGCUCUUUUACCAGGGAUGAUAAUGACAGUACCUGGAGAAUAAGCUCCGGCUAACUCCGUG